ACGGAGCGCAGCAGGCGCGACAACUUUACAAUGCGGGAAACCGUGAUAAGGGAACUCCGAGUGCCCGUAAAAUCGGGCUGUCCAUCUGUUUAAAUAACAGGUGAAGAAAGGGCCGGGCAAGACCGGUGCCAGCCGCCGCGGUAAUACCGGCGGCUCGAGUGGUGGCCACUAUUACUGGGCUUAAAGCGUUCGUAGCUGGUCUGUUAAGUCUCUGGGGAAAUCUACUGGCUUAACCAAUAGGCGUUUCAGGGAUACUGGCAGACUAGGGACCGGGAGAGGUGAGAGGUACUCCAGGGGUAGGAGUGAAAUCCUGUAAUCCUUGGGGGACCACCUGUGGCGAAGGCGUCUCACCAGAACGGCUCCGACAGUGAGGGACGAAAGCUGGGGGAGCAAACCGGAUUAGAUACCCGGGUAGUCCCAGCUGUAAACGAUGCGCGUUAGGUGUAUCGGUGACCACGAGUCACCGAGGUGCCGAAGGGAAACCGUGAAACGUGCCGCCUGGGAAGUACGGUCGCAAGGCUGAAACUUAAAGGAAUUGGCGGGGGAGCAC
This 550-nucleotide ribosomal RNA is filed under the name uncultured archaeon. RNAcentral's name for it is "bacterial SSU rRNA". It matches the Rfam family "Archaeal small subunit ribosomal RNA", at positions 325 to 879 of the family's 1478-position model. The record is from RNAcentral.